CCCCCGCCAUCAUUGGUGCUAUUGUUGGUGUCUCCAAUUUCGACCCUGUCAAGCGUAGCUAACAAGACACUGCUACGUUCGUUUGCUUGUAAUAGUAAAGAAAAUGCUUUCAAGGGGAUUCUUUCUCUACUACUGCCUCUCUACCUCUUCGUUCAGUUUCAUUUCCUUUCCCAUUUAAAACCAAAAAACAAUAUUUAUAUGUAACCAGUUUGGUUCCUUCUCAGUAAAGGAGUCUUUCGUUCAUCAAUUUCUGCCUAUUAACUACAUACCGAGAUUCCUGUUUUAAUCUAAAUACAGCACGAGACUAACUGCGUAAAAUAUGAAACUCAAUGGUUAUGAAGGAGAUCUUCAGUACCUAACUAUGAAACUCAAUGGUUUUGAAGGAGAUCUUCAGUACCUAAAUAUGAAACUCAAAUGGUUUUGAAGGAGAUCUUCAGUACCUAUGGGGUCCAGAAGCAAUUUCGCCAAGCAUUUGUCUGCUCUCAGAAGAGUAAUCAAUCUUGUCUGCCUUCACCGCCGUGAUCUUAACCCUCAGUUCAUCGCCAUACAUUUCCUCCUUGAUCUUAAGCUUCAAGAGAUAACGGUAAAACACCCUGCUGCGGAAUAUGUUUGAAAGUCUCGACUCCUCCUGCUCGUUGUUUUUCAGUUCGUACAACUCCUUGGCUGGAAUUCCCAUGAUCUCUUCUCCCGACUCCUGGAAAGCUGUCACCCACGCUAAUCCUGUGUGGUCCUGAAUCUGAAACUGGAGCAGAUAUCUGUAAUCACAUUCCUCGAAUUCUUGAUUGCAUCUAUCGCAUACCCAUCCCGAGCUUCCUGAUCCGUUCACCUUCUUGUUACACUGUCUAUCUCCUAUCAUCAGUGGACAAGCUGUGUAGCAGAACGAUUCUAUUUUGAAAAAGGUGAUUGCAGCUUUCACAGUUACCCAGUCUGGUUUCUCCGAUCUUCCAAGACCUUCGUCUUUGAUUUGGGACACAGUUUUCCUUAUUUCAGUCCUGGAUCCUGCUGGCACCACGUCCUUGGAAAUGCAUACAGUAGCAGAGUUCUGCCCUCCUCGGUUAAACCAGUCUCUCAGCUCUUGAGCUUCAGGAAUUUCUGGAUUUAUGAAUAGCUGAGAAGAUGAAAUCGUCCCUACAGACUUCCCAGUGAAAUCACUAACUUUUCCUGCUUUCACAGCUAGUACCGGGAAUAUCCCCGAAUCCACCAUCUCUUGCAGACCUUGACCUUCUUUGUUACAGAAAUCUCCCCAAAGAGUUAGCUCAACACUUCUGCCUGAACUAUCCUUCACAUUCACGGUUCUUCGCUGAGUCUCCAUGCCAUUCUUUCUCAUGAUAGAGACUGAAGGGUUCACGGAUGUCACAAUGCCAACUAUAUCAAGUAUGGAGUUGUUUUCAGUACUCUCAAUUUCACUUAUUGAUUUAAAGGCAAACUGUUGUUGUGGUAUAGAACCAUCUUCCUCUGGAAGAAGAUCAACAGUUGAAGCUGCCUCGAGAAAUAUCUCCCACUCAUUCUUCAGAUGAUUGAAAUUUUUCUGUGCUGGUUUCAAAUUACCCUUUGCAAUCAAAUAGACUCGUCCUACCUCAAUGACAUCAUAGAAGCGGUCAACAACAGAAUUGAAGCAUGUUACCCUUAUUUCACCUCCAUCUGAAUCAAGAAGGUCAAAGGAGAAGACCUUCCCAUCUCCACGGGCAUUGUUGUAACGACGGAGAUCUCCUUUUGCAGUUACCCGGGCCUUGAUAGCCCACCUUCCCUGAUAAGGAUUCAAAGCAGAAAUUGGAAUUACUCUAGCUGGUGCUUCGUUCUUCAUGAUUGCUCCUCUAUUUAUAUAACUCGGAGGUGGCUGGUAUGCAGGUUGAACGGCUGGUCCAUAAAUCUGUGCAUUAUUCCAAGUAGCUGGUCUCAUCAUACCAUUGCUGCCAUUUCGGGCAUUAUUCAACAGAGGCCGAGAACCUUUCACAUUGGUUCCUUGAUUUUGGGGGAAUGAGGUAGGCUGCAGGCCCUGCAUAUUGUUUCCAGCAUUUUGGGCAUUGAGAGCUGGCCGAAAACUUUGCAUAUUACCACCAUUGUUUAGGGAACUCGAAUUGUUGUAAAAUCCACUGCCUGAUUGCACUGAACUGACGUUACUAAGGGUCUUCUGAGCAGUCAUAUCAGCCACGCAUUUAGGAUUUCCGAUUAUUCCACAAUCCAGUACUAUAGUUUCCAUUUUCAGUACGACAAUAAUCCUGCAGAACAACAGCAAUUGGUCCGUUGUCAACCAAAGCAAUUACAUCAUUAUCUUGAGCUCUUUUUUCAACUAGAAACAAACACCACUUGCUAUAUCAUUCUAUUUUCCAAACAGCUUUUUUCACAAUUAACAACAAUAACAAUAUAACUGAGCAAUGUAAAACCAGAGUAAGUCAAGAAGAUUGAAACAACUGAAGUAGCAUGAAAUGAGUUGGUUCAAGAAUGUCUAUAAGUCAGGCAUUCCAUUUCAAAUUAGAUCUAAAAACAAAUUAGAUCAAAUUAGAAUAUCCUGUCCUAUGGCACAUAGCAGAGUCGAAUUCACAACCAACAGAUGAGAGAUAGAAUCUAUUCCAAAACAGGACGAGAAGCUUUCUUCUCCAGGAUAGGAGCAGAACACCAGCACCAGAAGGCAAUUUCAUCGGUCCUUAACAGUCAUCUCGAGAAACCAGCAAUGGCCCCAGGAAUCUCUAAUGCCUGGAUAUUGACCUGAAACUUCUAGUCGAGUUUAAAAUUUAAAAUGCUGCAUAGAAAUUCUAUUUUGAAAGGACUGAACACAUAGUUCUGCAUUGUAGCUCUCCAAGCGCUACAACUAAACAAAACAACUAAAGUUAUGGAAGACGUGAGGAAGUUACCUGCGGUUCUGGACAUCGCUGCAAAUGUAAUCAAUAAGCUGGACGACGGAUCCUAUCUUGACGCAGCCGGUCUUGACUCUAUCAUUGAGCUGAGUGGCGAGCAUCGCUUGCUGAGUGGAGACGGAAUCGGAGAUCAUCAUCCUGUACCUCUCCUGAGCGCUCCCGCACAAUUUGAUGUCCGUAACCUGUACCAGCGGCUUCGAGUUCAGAUCGCCGCCAUUGAUGGCGGCUAUGGCGUUGGGGGUGAGAUUGACCGGCAUCGUGUCGGUUGGCUAGCGGUGGCCCGCAAGGAAUCGAGAAGAGAAACAGCGAAAGAGGAGAAACCCUAAGAACUGGAUAUGUAGAAGAGAGCUAUGCCACCUUUUUCGUGAAUUCAAGGUUGAAAAUGGCGGGGCUCAUACCCCGUGAAUAGAUAACCGACUCGAGAUCUUUGAAAUUGGAGCUUAAUAUCCAUAGUGGUCAUCAAACAAUGUUUUAUGACAUUGUGGUCAUCAAACUUAUAAAAUGUACCCUAGAAACGAUUAACCAAUUGCAAAAGUGACCAUUUGGUCAUACCAUAUUUUUUGGGUGUAAAUUUGGUCAUUCCAUAUCCUUCUGUUAAAUGUACAAUCAUACAUCCGAUCCGAAUUAGCAAAGAUAUUAAAGUAUCCAUUUAUAUUAUUUUUAAACAAAUCAAGUCUCAUUUAUCUAAUAAUAAAGUUACAUUUUGAAUGGCAUGUAUCUUCCAAUUGUCAUUCUUUAUAACCUUCUCAUCUACAAGUAGAGAAAUAGUAGUAAUAUAAUUACCUCUUUCAAGAACUUUUCAUUGUUUUCUUCGUCGAAGUAGCAAUUUUAACUGCUGCCAUUUCAUCUCACGAGUUAGCCGUUAAGAAAAUAUAUUGUUUUUGGUUUGGUUCUUAGUUAAUCAAAACCGUACUAAGAAACAAAAAUACAUGUUCGUGUGCAUUAAUACAAAUUCAUUUAGUAUUUAACCAUAAGAACACAAUGAAUUAUAAGACAAUAAUUUGAACAAAUUGAUAACUCUACUCAUUAUUUUGGUCUCAAAUUUUCAUUCUAUAUUAAGACAGAUACUUUUUUAAUGAAACUUUUAUAAUUUCUUAAUUUUUUCUUUUGAUGUUAAUCAAAUAUGAAAUUAUAUCACACUCUUCAUUUUUAAAUAUUAAAAAAAGUUUCAUAAAAAAA
This 4034-nucleotide long non-coding RNA is filed under the name Linum usitatissimum (flax). RNAcentral describes it as "long non-coding RNA (LUSI_LNC004995)". Lineage: Eukaryota; Viridiplantae; Streptophyta; Magnoliopsida; Malpighiales; Linaceae. The record is from RNAcentral.